RNAcentral lists this ribosomal RNA (472 nucleotides) under uncultured bacterium. RNAcentral's name for it is "bacterial SSU rRNA". It matches the Rfam family "Bacterial small subunit ribosomal RNA", at positions 28 to 476 of the family's 1533-position model. The record is from RNAcentral.
GACGAACGCUGGCGGCGUGCCUAAUACAUGCAAGUCGAACGCACUCUCGUUUAGAUUGAAGGAGCUUGCUCCUGAUUGAUAAACAUUUGAGUGAGUGGCGGACGGGUGAGUAACACGUGGGUAACCUGCCCUAAAGUGGGGGAUAACAUUUGGAAACAGAUGCUAAUACCGCAUAAAACCUAACACCGCAUGGUGUAGGGUUGAAAGAUGGUUUCGGCUAUCACUUUAGGAUGGACCCGCGGUGCAUUAGUUAGUUGGUGAGGUAAAGGCUCACCAAGACCGUGAUGCAUAGCCGACCUGAGAGGGUAAUCGGCCACACUGGGACUGAGACACGGCCCAGACUCCUACGGGAGGCAGCAGUAGGGAAUCUUCCACAAUGGACGAAAGUCUGAUGGAGCAACGCCGCGUGAGUGAAGAAGGUUUCGGAUCGCAAACUCUGUUGUUGGAGAAGAAUGUAUCUGAUAGUAACUGA